GAUGAACGCUGACAGAAUGCUUAACACAUGCAAGUCAACUUGAACUUCGGUUUGGGUGGCGGACGGGUGAGUAACGCGUAAAGAACUUGCCUCACAGAUAGGGACAACAUUUGGAAACGAAUGCUAAUACCUGAUAUUAUGAUUUUAGGGCAUCCUAGGAUUAUGAAAGCUAUAUGCGCUGUGAGAGAGCUUUGCGUCCCAUUAGCUAGUUGGAGAGGUAACGGCUCACCAAGGCGAUGAUGGGUAGCCGGCCUGAGAGGGUGAUCGGCCACAAGGGGAAUGAGACACGGCCCUUACUCCUACGGGAGGCAGCAGUGGGGAAUAUUGGACAAUGGACCAAGAGUCUGAUCCAGCAAUUCUGUGUGAACGAUGAAGUUUUUCGGAAUGUAAAGUGCUUUCAGUUGGGAAGAAAAAAAUGACGGUACCAACAGAAGAAGUGACGGCUAAAUACGUG
Molecule: ribosomal RNA, 454 nt
Filed under: uncultured bacterium
Lineage: Bacteria
Description: partial 16S ribosomal RNA
Rfam family: Bacterial small subunit ribosomal RNA
Source: RNAcentral